CGAGGGGUUUGUAAAUGCUUUUUACUAGAUCUAUUUUUCUAUGUAUGUUAUUUUCGUUUAGGUUUUUCCCCCCCACUAUUUUAAUAUUUUAUUUUUUGACAAACUUGGCUUUCUCCACUUUUACGCCAUCUCAGUGAUUCUGCGGGAGUUGUUUCCACCCAUCUCGUGACUUGUGCUAAUGAAAGGGGUUCUCGUGACACGCUGGUUCACACAGUGACGUAUGAAGGAGGAGAUUCCGGAAGUCGAAUGCAGUUCCAAUCGAUGUCCACAAGAUGGCGCAAUAAGUUCCAGUCAGGAGGCUAUUGAUUGCCUCCCUCUCCUCCAGAGCAACCGACAACAACACGCGGCAACAGAUGGUGGGGCCCCACGGAUCUCGGCGUCACGGACUCAGUGGGAUUGUUGUACGUUAGGAGACAGAAAACACCGAGACAGCUCGAGGAGGGCUGUAGUCCAGUAUUUCUCACCUAGCACUGGAAUUAAAAUUGGACUGUCAAACUUCUUUAGAAAAUCAUCAUCGCUGUUCCUUUAUAAACGCUGUGGUGUUUGUUUUAUUCCUCACACGUAGAUGGUUGUUGAAUUAUUUCUGAAUCAUUGCGUUGUAUUUUAGUACUGUUUUCUAUCACUUGUAAUCAUGAAAAUUAACGCGGAUUAAAGGAGCUACUGAUAUUUAAUAUUAAGAAUAA
Molecule: long non-coding RNA, 683 nt
Organism: Astatotilapia calliptera (eastern happy)
Lineage: Eukaryota; Metazoa; Chordata; Actinopteri; Cichliformes; Cichlidae
Source: Ensembl